UGAAAGUGUAGUUUUUAAAUCAAAUGAUUAAUAGUUAUGUUCUUUAAAGUUAAAUAUUUUGGCGGUAUCUUAGUCUUUUCAGAGGAACCUGUUCUAUAAUUGAUAAUCCACGUUUGAUAAUACUUUAGUUAGAAAUUUACAUAUCGUUGUUAUAGAGUAUUUUAAAAGAGAAUUAAUACUUUAAACUUAUAAUUUUAAAGAAGAUCAGAUCAAGAUGUAGUUAAUAUUAAAGAAGAAAUGGGUUACAAUAAAUAAAUUUCUGGAUAUUUAAUUGAAAAUUAAGUUGAAAUUGGAUUUGAAAGUAAUUAAUUUUUCAUUAUUUUAAUGAGUUAGUUCUAAGAUAUGU
Molecule: ribosomal RNA, 346 nt
Filed under: Rodolia sp. CO813
Lineage: Eukaryota; Metazoa; Arthropoda; Insecta; Coleoptera; Coccinellidae
Description: partial 12S ribosomal RNA
Source: RNAcentral